UCUGCAUCGAAACGGGAGCCGGAUUCUGCUGCGACUGAGGACGGCAAUACCGACAUGCAGUAAAGAGGAUGGCACCAGUGUAAAGCAGCACUCCAUACACCAAAGACAAGCUACUUCCUGCUACAACAAGGCCAUUGUGUGGACUUUGGCUGUUACUACAAGAAUCUGCACCAAGCACACCAUGGUCCUCAUCACAGGAGCCCCCAUCUACCCUGACAGGAAGGGGCUGGAGCCGAAUUUACAAGGAUUUUACACCACAAACAAAGAAGCGGAUGCAGAAGUAUUUGGAUGAGAUAUCAAGUCUACGGAGGACUGUGUCAAGACUGAAAAGAGCCUCAGCCAUCAUUCCACCGGCACGGAUAUUGGCCGAGUCAUCCAGGUACCUCAACAAAGACUUUCUAGAAAUUCUUCAUGUUGAGAUGCACCUGCAACCAUUCAACAAGCACGGACGACGCUGGCCAAAAGAGUUCCAUCAGUUUGCCCUUCCUUAAUCAGCUUCCUGGUCAUGUCAAAUUCCAUUUAUGCCGAGUAUACAUUUUUUUUUCU
Molecule: long non-coding RNA, 546 nt
Organism: Dermacentor silvarum
Lineage: Eukaryota; Metazoa; Arthropoda; Arachnida; Ixodida; Ixodidae
Exons: 3
Source: RefSeq, a predicted model, not a curated record